GACGAACGCUGGCGGCGUGCUUAACACAUGCAAGUCGAACGGAAAGGCACUGCUUUUUUGGGGUGCUCGAUUGGCGAACGGGUGAGUAACACGUGAGUAACCUGCCCUUCACUUUGGUAUAACUUCACGAAACUAGAGCUAAUACCAGAUAGGAGCUCCUCCUGCAUUGUGAGGGUUGGAAAUUUUCGGCGGUCGGGGAUGGACUCGCGGCUUAUCAGCUUGUUGGUGGGGUAGUGGCUUACCAAGGCUUUGACGGGUAGCCGGCCUGAGAGGGUGACCGGCGACAUUGGGACUGAGAUACGGCGCAGACUGCUAUGGGAGGCAGCAGUGGGGAAUAUUGCACAAUGGGCGGAAGCCUGAUGCAGCAACGCCGCGUGCGGGAUGACGGCCUGUGGGUUGUAAAAAGCAUUCGCCUGUGACGAAGCGUGAGUGACGGUAAUGGGUAAAGAAGCACCGGCUAACUACGUG
Molecule: ribosomal RNA, 468 nt
Filed under: uncultured bacterium
Lineage: Bacteria
Description: partial 16S ribosomal RNA
Rfam family: Bacterial small subunit ribosomal RNA
Source: RNAcentral